RNAcentral lists this ribosomal RNA (467 nucleotides) under uncultured bacterium. RNAcentral describes it as "bacterial SSU rRNA". It matches the Rfam family "Bacterial small subunit ribosomal RNA", at positions 328 to 793 of the family's 1533-position model. The record is from RNAcentral.
UUUCCAGACUCCUACGGGAGGCAGCAGUGAGGAAUAUUGGUCAAUGGGCGGGAGCCUGAACCAGCCAAGUCGCGUGAGGGAAGAAGGUACUGAGUAUUGUAAACCUCUUUUGCCAGGGGACAAAGGCGGCCACGGGUGGCCGUAAGAGGGUACCUGGAGAAAAAGCAUCGGCUAACUCCGUGCCAGCAGCCGCGGUAAUACGGAGGAUGCGAGCGUUAUCCGGAUUUAUUGGGUUUAAAGGGUGCGUAGGCGGAACAUUAAGUCAGCGGUAAAAUCGAGGGGCUCAACCCCUUUAAGCCGUUGAAACUGGUGAUCUUGAGUGGGCGAGAAGUAUGCGGAAUGCGUGGUGUAGCGGUGAAAUGCAUAGAUAUCACGCAGAACUCCGAUUGCGAAGGCAGCAUACCGGCGCCCGACUGACGCUGAGGCACGAAAGCGUGGGGAUCGAACAGGAUUAGAUACCCUGGUAA